UGCCCGCUUCUUUGAUCCGUCGGUGUCCGCGCGUUGCUUUGGGACUACGACAUCAUGUGCCGCUGAUGGCGCCUACCGUCGCCACGUAAAGCCGGCGCACGACAGCGAGGGUCAGAGCCCGCACGGCCGGACCGCGACGCCACGGGCGCUCGUCAGGAGGAUGGCGUGAGGGAGGUGGGUGUCGCUCGCGGGCGGCGACGUGUUGGGCGUCCGGGGCCGGGGUCUCGCUGUCACGGAGAUCUCGGCGCUGGCCCUCGGAUUCGAGCACGAGAUUUUUCGUCCUCCUCCGUCCUCACGCUCGCGCAAACAGGAGGAGCCGAGCUUUUUCUCCGUUCAAUUCGAUGGUCCCUCGCGUCUACGAGUAGCUUUCAGGAGGGAGCCGGCCAAUGGCGCGACGGCAGCACCCCGCGGUGGACAGGACAGGACAGAGACAGACGUCUUGCUGUUGUACGGUACAACUUGUACCGACGGUGCUCGGCAGCGUCGGGUGCCAAGUGUUCGCCUCUGCGUUCAGCUCACAUGCUCGGCCGCUGGAGACAGCUCAACAACAUGAACAGGAGUAGUCGUACUACCGAGUUCAAGGAGUCCACACGAAACGAGCAUCCAAGGAAAAACAGCUAUGGAACAAUGUCGUGCAGAUCUGAUCACGCGCCUUCUUCACGUUGCUCCGCGAGAUUUAUUAAUAUGGUGGGUGACAAUCACGCACUCGUGAGGACCGAUGAGGCGAUGAGCUCACUUUACACACAUUUUAUUCUUCUAGCCUCCAAGAACACCAGUCACAGCGUGUUUGGUAACUUUUGGAAUGGGGAAUAGGAAUUCAGAGGGAGUUGUAAUGAGAUUAGACAUGAAUAAUGUAAUUUUAUUCCCAAUCCCUUGUUUGGUAUUAGAUGAGUUUUACAAGUGAGAAUUUAAGAAAGACUAGUUCGUUGCCCGUGCGUUGCCACGGAAAAACAACAAUUACUGAUGCAUUUUUAAAAAAAUCGAC
This 985-nucleotide long non-coding RNA is filed under the name Hordeum vulgare. RNAcentral's name for it is "long non-coding RNA (HVUL_LNC010634)". The record is from RNAcentral. Lineage: Eukaryota; Viridiplantae; Streptophyta; Magnoliopsida; Poales; Poaceae.